GCCUAGCUGGCUCAGUAGGUGGAGCAUGUGACUGUUGAUCUGGGGGUUGUGAGUUCGAGCCCCACGUUGGAUA
This 73-nucleotide transfer RNA is filed under the name Felis catus (domestic cat). It matches the Rfam family "tRNA". From Rfam's summary of the family: Transfer RNA (tRNA) molecules are approximately 80 nucleotides in length. Lineage: Eukaryota; Metazoa; Chordata; Mammalia; Carnivora; Felidae. RNAcentral also lists the same sequence under 4 other names. The record is from Rfam by way of RNAcentral.